RNAcentral lists this long non-coding RNA (629 nucleotides) under Marmota monax (woodchuck). Lineage: Eukaryota; Metazoa; Chordata; Mammalia; Rodentia; Sciuridae. The record is from RNAcentral.
CUCAUAUAUUGAUGGUGGGACUGCAAAUUGUUGUAACCACUAUUGAAAGCAGUAUAUAGAUUCCUAAAAAAAUUUGGAAUGGAACUACCAUUUAACCCAGUUAUCCCAUUCCUGGGUUUAUACCCAAAGGACUUACAAACACCAUACUACAGUGACACAGUCACAUUAAUGUUUAUAGCAGCUCAACUCACAAUAGCUAAGCUAUGGAAACAACAUAGGUGUCCUUCAACAGAUGAACAGAUAAAGAAAAUGUGGUAUAUAUACACAAUGAAAUAUUUUGUGCCUUUUGCCAGUAAAUGGAAGAAUCUGGAGACUAUCAUGCUAAGUGAAAUAAGCCAAUCCUCAAAAUACAAAGGUCAAAAUGGUCUCUCUGAUAUGUGGAUGGUAACAUACAAUAAUGGGGAUGGGAGGGAAGAAUAGAAGUUCAUUAUAUUAGAUAAAGGGGAAUGAAGGGAAAAGAGGAGGGAUAGGAAUAGGAAAGACAGUAGAAUGAAUCAGACCUAACUUUCCUAUGUUCAUAUAUGAAUACACCACAGUGAAUUUCCACAUCAUGUACAACCAAAAGAACAGAAUUCUAAUUGGAGUAAGAAAUACUCCGUGUAUGUAUAAUAAGUCAAAAUAUACUCUAU